Molecule: unclassified non-coding RNA, 2048 nt
Filed under: Limulus polyphemus (Atlantic horseshoe crab)
Lineage: Eukaryota; Metazoa; Arthropoda; Merostomata; Xiphosura; Limulidae
Description: uncharacterized LOC106464776, transcript variant X1
Source: RNAcentral
GUGCUCAAGGUUGAGCAACACGCGCGUGACGUUAGUACGUGUUAGUUGUGAUCACAGUUUUCCUCUUUCGUCAUUCUAAUUAAAUUUGAAAAGCUGAAUCUUUACGAAACCAUUUGACAGGAGAGAGAGAGAGAUAAAGUUACCCCAGCCUUUCCCAAGAAACCCCACUAGUUAUCCAUCUCCAUCACAUGCUAAUGACGGCCAUCUUAACGCUUUUAUGUAAUUAAAGAUCAAAAAUGUAUUCCAUACCAAAGGAAAAUAUUAGAAUGAAAACGGGCGUCUUAAGAAACGCGGCUACUCAAACACCGAGGGGGCAAUGUGACGCUGAAAAUUUUCAUAGCGGAAGCCUAAUAAGUCUAGAAAAUCAUCUAACUUGGACGGUUUGUUUUAAUGAUGAAGAAGCAGCGGUGGACAUUAUAAGUCCACAAGUUCAGUUAGGGCAACGUUAUAGUGAUAUAAAGAAUACCUUUACUGAUCAAGAACUGGCUGAAAUAAGUACAAAAGAAAGUGGCAGCUUACAUCGCCAGCGCACAGAAAACGGUGUCGGGUUUCUGCACAACAGAGCAACGUUACCAGGCCUAACGUCAAACCACUUUAAAGUCGCCAGUUCCCAGGAAGAAUGCCACAAACCAGACCAACUCUCGCUAGAUGACAUCCACAUAACAAUGCUAUCCGUAGAAGACUCCAGUCCUCAACAGUGUUCUGCUCCAAACUUGAUGGUAGAGGAAGGUGACAAUGUGUAUACCGUUUGUGGAGAAACGGUAAAAAAUACAACAGACCUCCAAAAUGAGAUUAAAAAUGACACGAAUAACGUAAACCCAGGUGUAGUUACAAGUGUCGGUCCGGUAAUACUGUACCCACAAUCGCCAUCUUUAGAGAAGAAACGCAGAUGGGUCCAGGCCGUUUCAGAAUCGUGUUCUUUGGUUUUCUUUAUUGGAUUUGUCAUCUUAUCCAUCUUAACCCCGUGGUUAUGCAUUCCGUCAUAUGUAAUUGACACCAAGGAACAAACCACUUUUCAGAUCCUAAUGUUUAGUCUGGUUGUUGUCUCGUUUGGUUUACUCUUCGUCGGUUGUAUUAUUGGUAACUUUUACUGGCGUUACGAAGAAAAAAGCAAAACCUGGCGUCCAAUUCUCCACUGUGGUAAAGGACCAAACCAUAAUUGGGGGUGGUUCUUCUCAAGUGAACCUACCAGACUCAAAGAGGGAGAAAUUGUCUAACAGAGACUUUUUUUCCUCAAACUGAAAUCAAACCAAUAUUUUUGUAUCACCAUAGAAGCUCCAUACAAUUAAAACAAAAAAUACGUUAGAAAUACCUUUUUCUGAAAAAAAUAGCAGUCUUUAAUGUUUAGUUCUUAUGCAAGUUUAUCGUUUUAAGGGCAUGUAUUUUUUUACCCUAAAUUGUGUUAACAUAUUGGUUCUUCGGAAAGGGAAUUCCAAGGGACUUUGGAAUGUUCAAAUAGCCUGGCUAGCAGUAUAAUUGCUGACUUUUCUAAUUUUUUAAAAUCUUGACAAAAAUCCCCCUGUAAUCAUCUGAGCAAGAUGCAAUGGUAUAACGUUCAGAAGUAAUAUUUAAAAAUUUUUCUUCUCAUUCACACUAUUAGAGUUUAAACUGAUUAUUGACUAACCAGGCAACAAAUCACUGUUUCAUCUCUCUGAAAACACUGAUGAUGUAGAAUCCAGUACUUAUUGGAGGAUUGGCAAAUAAGACACAUAGUACAAGAAAGACGCAUAAUACGUGACAAGGAAAAGUUGGUCCCAAAACAAGAAAGAAUAGGAAGAUGAUGUACUAAACCACUUCUUUCUGAUUGUUCGUCUGUUUCUUCGAUAUCAUCAUCUGGAAUAAACCUUUUCCAAUUAGCUGAAGGUUCACCACUGCCUCCUGACUUACAAAGAAGAUGCAACUUUAUCUAGAUGAAAUAAAAUUAGGGAAUAGGGAAGAUUUACAAGAAAAGUACUUAUGUCAAGAAACUGGAAUUUUUAAAAGGUCUUUUUAUAAUCCUAUUAAGUACUAAAACAUUAAAUUUAUCAAUUUUUCAACAAGAAGAUCAA